UACGGGGGGGGCAAGCGUUGUUCGGAAUUACUGGGCGUAAAGGGCUCGUAGGCGGCCAACUAAGUCGGAUGUGAAAUCCCCAGGCUCAACUUGGGAACUGCAUCCGAUACUGGAUGGCUUGAAUUCGGGAGAGGGAUGCAGAAUUCCAGGUGUAGCGGUGAAAUGCGUAGGUAUCUGGAGGAACACCUGUGGCGAAAGCGGCGCACUGGACCAUAACUGACGCUGAUGCGCGAAAGCUAGGGGAGCAAACAGG
Molecule: ribosomal RNA, 253 nt
Filed under: uncultured bacterium
Lineage: Bacteria
Description: partial 16S ribosomal RNA
Rfam family: Bacterial small subunit ribosomal RNA
Source: RNAcentral